CCUCUGAUCAAAUUUUCGAAUAGUAUGGUCCCCAUAGAACGAACAAUCUCCCUCACUAUAAUAGCUGGAUGAGCUCCAUGGCAGGCUGUUGUGUAAAUAAAUUACUUCAUAGUAAAAAAUCCGUUGGUGUACAAUGUCAUUUUAGGUUGGUCUGGAUUGAACACUCUUCAAGCUAUAGUGUCGACCUACUAUUUUAACAAUGAAAUUUUUUACUCCCUAU
RNAcentral lists this long non-coding RNA (220 nucleotides) under Elaeis guineensis (African oil palm). RNAcentral describes it as "long non-coding RNA (EGUI_LNC019624)". The record is from RNAcentral. Lineage: Eukaryota; Viridiplantae; Streptophyta; Magnoliopsida; Arecales; Arecaceae.